AUAAGAGGUCCAGCCUGCCCAGUGAAAUUAUUCAACGGCCGCGGUAUCCUAACCGUGCGAAGGUAGCGUAAUCACUUGUUCUUUAAAUGAGGACUAGUAUGAAUGGCAUCACGAGGGUUUUACUGUCUCCUUUUUUAAAUCAGUGAAACUAAUCUCCCCGUGAAGAAGCGGGGAUUUUGUUAUAAGACGAGAAGACCCUAUGGAGCUUAAAACAAACAACAUUUGCUGCACAUAAUACUUUUAUCUUCAAGAAGUAUAGCAUUAUGAUAUUUAGUUUUUGAUUGGGGUGAUCACGGAGCAAAAUAAAACCUCCACGCCGAAAGGGUUUAUACCCUGAGCAAAAAGCUACAGCUUUAAGCACUAAAAAAUUAACGUAUUUGACCCAAUAUUUUGAUCAACGAACCAAGUUACCCUAGGGAUAACAGCGCAAUCCACUUCAAGAGCUCUUAUCGACAAGUGGGUUUACGACCUCGAUGUUGGAUCAGGGUGUCCUAGUGGUGCAGCCGCUACUAAUGGUUCGUUUGUUCAACGAUUAAACCCUACGUGA
Molecule: ribosomal RNA, 547 nt
Filed under: Boana geographica A
Lineage: Eukaryota; Metazoa; Chordata; Amphibia; Anura; Hylidae
Description: partial 16S ribosomal RNA
Rfam family: Bacterial large subunit ribosomal RNA
Source: RNAcentral